Xyrichtys novacula (pearly razorfish) is the source of this 400-nucleotide non-coding RNA. NCBI's taxonomy places the organism in Eukaryota, Metazoa, Chordata, Actinopteri, Labriformes, Labridae. The record is from the annotation of a GenBank genome assembly.
UGUUCGUUUUGGCGAGUUUGAACGUUUUUGAGCAUGUGUAAUGGCAUGAAUUCGUUAAGCUGUUGUUUUAGUGUUCUUUUGAUGAGUUUGGCUUGUUGUUAUGAAAAGUGUUUGUUUUGGCGAGUUUGAACGUUUUUGAGCAUGUGUAAUGGCAUGAAUGUGUUGAAUUGGUAAUCCCUUGUGUUAAGCCAUUGUUUUAGUGUUCUUUUGAUGAGUUUGGCUUGUUGUUAUGAACAUUGUUUGUUUUGGUGAGUUUGAACGUUUUUGAGCAUGUGUAAUGCAUGAAUGCGUUAAGCUGUUGUUUUAGUGUUCUUAUGAUGAGUUUGGCUGGUUGUUAUGAAAAGUGUUUGUUUUGGCGAGUUUGAACGUUUUUGAGCAUGUGUAAUGGCAUGAAUGCGUU